Molecule: long non-coding RNA, 1118 nt
Organism: Sorghum bicolor (sorghum)
Lineage: Eukaryota; Viridiplantae; Streptophyta; Magnoliopsida; Poales; Poaceae
Exons: 2
Source: RefSeq, a predicted model, not a curated record
GCAUCCGAGUCCAGCAGCCAUCCACGAGCAGUAAGCGAAUGAGAGCUCUAGUCCAUACGAGACACACGGCGAUAUGAUAUAUUCUACAUUCGUAAAUUAUCAACCCAGCACAAUAUUAUAAUAUAUCGAGAUGGAUGCGGUGUAUGUAUGAUUAAGUAUUGAGAUAUUUCCGUAUAUGUAUGUUUAGUUAAUAUGCUUUGCUAGUAUGCGUGAGUAGGAUCAACACACCGUGUGAGCAACAAGUGGCAGACUUGUGGGCUUCGCCAGCCUCUGAGGUCCAGCGUAUACGCAUAUACAGAAAGUAUAUUAUAGGCAAUAUAUAUAUCAUCAGUCUGAAAAUUUUUACAUCCCUCCUUCCCUCUGUCUGCUGCUUGGUUUGCAGGAUCCUCAACCCAGCAUUACGGCUACCACUUCUCUACAGCGACAGGGUAACUCAACUAAAUCAUCAGUCUGCCCUCUUGUCAUUUACAGACUUGCCUUGUCUCUGUUUGCUUGCUUACAGUCAACAGCCCAGAAUCAUUUGCUGGCGUGAAAACUUACACCCUAGCACAACCUGUGCACCCAGCAACUGCUGGCCCUGUCGUCCUUCGAACACAACCCAGGUUCAGUUGGUACCAAGCAUUCCUCGCUGCAGGGCUCUUGCUUGGUUUUUGGUGCUAGCGAUGCUGUCUUUAUCAAGAACUGUUCCUUUCUAUGCUCAAGUCUUGGAUACGCAAUGUUGUAGCGGAAGGUGAUGGCACUGAAGGCAACCAACUUAAGGCCAGGAUAGAUGAGGAAACAGCCGAGGCUGUAAAGGCCUCUGCUUCGGCUGUUUCUGCUAUUGCCAAAACAAACCAACAGCUGCUUUCAAAGGAUGAAGUUUUCACUCUACCUGUUCAUGAUUUGCUGCUUCUUCUUUGCCAAUAGUUUUACUCACUCCAAUAAUAUUGAUUUGUUCUUGUUAGCAGAAAAGAAUGUUUUUUAAGCCUGUACGAGUUAAAGUAGUAGUGUGGCUGAAAUAUAAUCUUAAGAUCAAUUAAGAAUCAUGACAUAAUAUAAUUAAUUUCUCAGCCUCUCAUAUUCAUUCCGUUAAGCAUGUACGAGUUAAAGUAGCGUCAGAAACAUGACAUGAUAAUUAA